RNAcentral lists this ribosomal RNA (200 nucleotides) under uncultured bacterium. RNAcentral describes it as "partial 16S ribosomal RNA". It matches the Rfam family "Bacterial small subunit ribosomal RNA", at positions 28 to 228 of the family's 1533-position model. The record is from RNAcentral.
GAUGAACGCUAGCGGCAGGCUUAACACAUGCAAGUCGAGGGGUAUGGGAAGCUUGCUUCCCAGAGACCGGCGCACGGGUGCGUAACGCGUAUGCAACCUACCUAUCACUGGGGGAUAGCCCGGGGAAACCCGGAUUAAUACCGCAUAACACAGGGGCUCCUCAUGGAGAUAUUUGUUAAAGAUUUAUCGGUGGUAGAUGG